RNAcentral lists this long non-coding RNA (324 nucleotides) under Bos taurus (domestic cattle). RNAcentral's name for it is "long non-coding RNA NONBTAT022561". Lineage: Eukaryota; Metazoa; Chordata; Mammalia; Artiodactyla; Bovidae. The record is from RNAcentral.
AGAACUUCAGCUUGCUUAGAAAACUACAUGUAAUUUAAGUAGAAUCAUUAUAAUGUACAUAGGUCUUAGGGUCUUUUGUAUUUUACACUUUCAAUACUUAAAGACAUAUAAUAGCAUAGCCAACCUAUCUUUAAGUUGAAGUGGUAUAAAAAUAAAAUUAAUUCCUUCACUCAAUAAGCAUUGUCCAGUCAGGGACAUAAGACCCAUCUUUAGAAGGAUAACAAAGGCCAUUUCUAUUCCCAUCUUUCAACUCUUCCAGUUCUUCCAGAAGAUAAUCAUGUCUCCAGUAGCUGUAGCUCUCCCUGGUCACAUGACUUCCUUCUU